This is a long non-coding RNA of Scylla paramamosain (green mud crab), 906 nucleotides long. RefSeq lists it as uncharacterized. NCBI's taxonomy places the organism in Eukaryota, Metazoa, Arthropoda, Malacostraca, Decapoda, Portunidae. The record is from RefSeq and is a predicted model, not a curated record. The transcript is spliced from 3 exons.
CCAUGAGCUGUCUGUCGCGGGGCGCAACACCAUGUGUGCUCCCUCCUCUGGACGCCCGGACGUGGGCGUGCGAGAUGGCAGCGGGGCGCGCGACCAUGGAGAUAGAAUACCUCCACGGGCGCGACACCCAGUGCGGCCCGGGGGGUCGUCGGGGGGGGGGGGGGGGGGUUGAUGGCCGCGGGUCGCGACUCCUGCGCGAUGUGCGCUCCCUCCUCUUGCGUGAGCGUGGGGCUGGCUGCGGGGAGUGACACCACGUGCGGUCCCUCUGUUCGCUCGGAAUGUAGAAGUCACCUGUCUGGUCCUGGCAGUACUCACGUGGUGGGAAAGUGUUGGAGCGGCGCUGUCUGGCACAGCAGGCUGUAGGGAAGCAGUUGUGUCAUUAUAUGCUGCCCAGCUCGGAGAGCAGCACUAGUGACAAAGACAACACACAAGUGUAACAUUCCCACCGCCACCACCACAGUCCACACCUCUCCUCAGAACCACCUCGGAAAAGGAUUGGUAACGAAUGUGGAUUAUUCGCAUUACGGUGUUGAUGGUGGUGGUGGUGGUGGUUCAAGCUUUACCACGACCGCCGCCGCCACCACCAUCCCCUCGUCCUCUCACCGAAGUAGAACACAGGAGACUUGCAUACGAACUGGAGGUCAUGCUUACCGAUCACCUGAAGCUGUGGAACCACCUCAUGAAUGCCAGCGAAGAACGAAAACAAGAACAAGAACAAAAAGAAGAGCGAAUUAGAAACGAAACACAGAAAGAAAAGAUAAACGAAAUAAUAAGAGGGCAUGAAAUUGGUGCAGAAGUAAAUUCUUAUUAUGCUAAACCGAGUGAAAUGGAAGAGAGGGAGGGGCGAGUUAAAAACGAAAAAGAAGAGGAGAAAGCAGCGAAAGUAGUGAUGAAUAAAAUAGUAAA